Molecule: non-coding RNA, 46 nt
Filed under: Schistosoma mattheei
Lineage: Eukaryota; Metazoa; Platyhelminthes; Trematoda; Strigeidida; Schistosomatidae
Source: RNAcentral
GCACUGCUUGAGAGUCCCACAAUAGGACGAAACGGCCGUCCAGUGC